AUGAACGCUGGCGGCGUGCCUCAUACAUGCAAGUCGCGCGAACGGACGAGAAGCUUGCUUCUCUGAUGUUAGCGGCGGACGGGUGAGUAACACGUGGAUAACCUACCUAUAAGACUGGGAUAACUUCGGGAAACCGGAGCUAAUACCGGAUAAUAUUUUGAACCGCAUGGUUCAAAAGUGAAAGACGGUCUUGCUGUCACUUAUAGAUGGAUCCGCGCUGCAUUAGCUAGUUGGUAAGGUAACGGCUUACCAAGGCAACGAUGCAUAGCCGACCUGAGAGGGUGAUCGGCCACACUGGAACUGAGACACGGUCCAGACUCCUACGGGAGGCAGCAGUAGGGAAUCUUCCGCAAUGGGCGAAAGCCUGACGGAGCAACGCCGCGUGAGUGAUGAAGGUCUUCGGAUCGUAAAACUCUGUUAUUAGGGAAGAACAUAUGUGUAAGUAACUGUGCACAUCUUGACGGUACCUAAUCAGAAAGCCACGGCUAACUACGUG
This 496-nucleotide ribosomal RNA is filed under the name uncultured bacterium. RNAcentral describes it as "partial 16S ribosomal RNA". It matches the Rfam family "Bacterial small subunit ribosomal RNA", at positions 29 to 507 of the family's 1533-position model. The record is from RNAcentral.